Molecule: non-coding RNA, 362 nt
Organism: Microcebus murinus (gray mouse lemur)
Lineage: Eukaryota; Metazoa; Chordata; Mammalia; Primates; Cheirogaleidae
Source: RefSeq, a predicted model, not a curated record
UGCUGAGGUGUCCACAGCCGGCUGCCGUGUCAGAUAGUAAAUGUGGUGUGAUGAUGACUGCAUUGGAUGGUGAAUGGAGGAUUCUCAACACCAGGUAACUGUGUCUCAUUUCUUGCCGGGCAGUCACUAACUCUAGAAUUUGCCAGCGAAUGAGAAUGACCUUCUGCCCGCCCGAAAAGUUCACCGACAGAGUCAAUACCAUUUCCUGUCAUUGCUUUGUAUGGCUGAUGGGUGUGCUAAGCAAGGAACAGAUGUGACUCAGCCCUGUGCACUGAUGAUAUGGUUCCUGGUUCUUUUAAAGGGCACCUCUGCCAAUUUUGCUGCUGUCGACAUUCAUCUUUCCUUAAAAUUCUGAAUUAAAA